This 761-nucleotide ribosomal RNA is filed under the name uncultured Prevotella sp. Its description in RNAcentral is "bacterial SSU rRNA". It matches the Rfam family "Bacterial small subunit ribosomal RNA", at positions 28 to 776 of the family's 1533-position model. The record is from RNAcentral. Lineage: Bacteria; Pseudomonadati; Bacteroidota; Bacteroidia; Bacteroidales; Prevotellaceae.
GAUGAACGCUGGCUACAGGCUUAACACAUGCAAGUCGAGGGGAAACGGCAUUGGGUGCUUGCACCGAAUGGACGUCGACCGGCGCACGGGUGAGUAACGCGUAUCCAACCUUCCCGUUACUGCGGGAUAACCUGCCGAAAGGCAGACUAAUACCGCAUGUUCAUCGAUGACGGCAUCAGAUUCGAAGCAAAGAUCCGUCGGUAACGGAGGGGGAUGCGUCUGAUUAGCUAGUUGGCGGGGCGACGGCCCACCAAGGCGACGAUCAGUAGGGGUUCUGAGAGGAAGGUCCCCCACAUUGGAACUGAGACACGGUCCAAACUCCUACGGGAGGCAGCAGUGAGGAAUAUUGGUCAAUGGGCGGAAGCCUGAACCAGCCAAGUAGCGUGCAGGAUGACGGCCCUACGGGUUGUAAACUGCUUUUAUGCGGGGAUAAAGUGAGGGACGCGUCCCUUUUUGCAGGUACCGCAUGAAUAAGGACCGGCUAAUUCCGUGCCAGCAGCCGCGGUAAUACGGAAGGUCCGGGCGUUAUCCGGAUUUAUUGGGUUUAAAGGGAGCGUAGGCCGGGGAUUAAGUGUGUUGUGAAAUGUAGGCGCCCAACGUCUGACUUGCAGCGCAUACUGGUUCCCUUGAGUACGCGCAACGCCGGCGGAAUUCGUCGUGUAGCGGUGAAAUGCUUAGAUAUGACGAAGAACCCCGAUUGCGAAGGCAGCCGGCGGGAGCGCAACUGACGCUGAAGCUCGAAGGUGCGGGUAUCGAACAGG